GACGAACGCUGGCGGCGUGCCUAACACAUGCAAGUCGCACGGGAUUGGGGGCAACUCCAGUUCAGUGGCAGAUGGGUGCGUAACACGUGAGGAACUUGUCCGACGGCGGGGGAUAGCCGGCCCAACGGCCGGGUAAUACCGCGCACGCUCAUUUGGGGACAUCCCCCGGGUGAGGAAAGCAGCCGCAAGGUUGCGCCGAUGGAGAGCCUCGCGGCGUAUCAGCAGUUGGCGGGUAACGGCCCACCAAGGCUACGACGCGUAGCUGAUCUGA
This 271-nucleotide ribosomal RNA is filed under the name uncultured bacterium. RNAcentral describes it as "partial 16S ribosomal RNA". It matches the Rfam family "Bacterial small subunit ribosomal RNA", at positions 28 to 295 of the family's 1533-position model. The record is from RNAcentral.